CCCCGAGGGGAACCGUAACCCGAUCCCAUUUGCAUACCCCAUGAACAAGCGCCGGCGCCGUUCAUUUUGGACUUACCGAGCUGCAUGCUACGCAUGGAAGCAGCGAGUUCACUCACCGAGUAAAACGAGCCGCUUGGGGAUAAAGGCGGUGAAUCGGAAGGUGGGGAUAACGGAGGUGAAGCUAAAAUGGAAGUCGGUGAAGAAACUAUGUCGAAACGGUGACGUAUUGGGGACCCAACGUAAUCCAAAUCUCCCGAACUCGACCCGUUUCCUCUCGGACUCUGUUGUGGUAACAACCGGAGCUGUUCUGGUGUGUGAGCGAAAAAACAGACCCUCCUUUUACAACUGGUACCAUCCUUACACGGCUGAGUCCGGUACCGUGCUGGGUGCAGCCAACACUCGAAAACACCAUGAGCGAACUCACACGAAUCGCCUUUUUUGCAGAUUCCUUUACGGAAAUCAGGGCAAGCUGUACCCGAGUAAUGAAACUUCCUCGGGUCUCUCCUCCGGGCUUUCUCCCCGGGGUGAGCGUACGGACACUCAGUCCAGUCAUGUGACCUGCCACGAGCACACCUCCUCACUUUGAACUCAU
Molecule: long non-coding RNA, 592 nt
Filed under: Gossypium barbadense (sea-island cotton)
Lineage: Eukaryota; Viridiplantae; Streptophyta; Magnoliopsida; Malvales; Malvaceae
Description: long non-coding RNA (GBAR_LNC018933)
Source: RNAcentral